RNAcentral lists this transfer RNA (66 nucleotides) under Phyllochaetopterus sp. AW-2015. RNAcentral describes it as "tRNA-Ala". Lineage: Eukaryota; Metazoa; Annelida; Polychaeta; Chaetopteridae. The record is from RNAcentral.
GGACACGUACUUUAUGCUAAAAGAACUCGCUUGCAUCGAGAAAAUAGAUCGAUUAUCUCGUGCCCA